Molecule: ribosomal RNA, 398 nt
Filed under: uncultured bacterium
Lineage: Bacteria
Description: bacterial SSU rRNA
Rfam family: Bacterial small subunit ribosomal RNA
Source: RNAcentral
AUUGAACGCUGGCGGCAUGCUUUACACAUGCAAGUCGAACGGGGUGAGGAGCUUGCUCCUCAUCUAGUGGCGAACGGGUGAGUAAUACAUCGGAACGUACCGUGUAGUGGGGGAUAAACGUAGCGAAAGUUACGCUAAUACCGCAUACGAUCCACGGAUGAAAGCAGGGGACCUUCGGGCCUUGUGCUAUACGAGCGGCCGAUGUCUGAUUAGCUAGUUGGUGAGGUAAAGGCUCACCAAGGCGACGAUCAGUAGCGGGUCUGAGAGGAUGAUCCGCCACACUGGGACUGAGACACGGCCCAGACUCCUACGGGAGGCAGCAGUGGGGAAUUUUGGACAAUGGGCGCAAGCCUGAUCCAGCCAUGCCGCGUGUCUGAGAAGGCCUCGGUUGUAAGGAC